GGGAGGGAAUCAUAAUGCACUGUGGGUAAAAUAUGUGACUGUGUGUCUGAAAUGUCCCUCUAUCUGUCUGUAGUUUAAGUCUCCCAUUUGGUCCCCUAGGGGAGUGUCCACCAGGUGGGAGACCUGCAUAAAUACGGGCAGGUAGCCCACAGUAAAACCAGAUUCUGUUUGACCCUCAAUGCGGAGCUUCUGUCUCGUUAUUGGGGGGGGAUUUCUUCUUCACGUUUAGAGACUGCUGGAUGGAACGAAAGCCGCUUGGGGAAUAUUGCUGUUCGACGAUUACCAGCAGUUCGUGUAUUGCCGUUCGGGAGUUUGGAGCCGUUCACGGAGCUCGGUCGGGAGAUUGCCGCUUCCCCUGCAUUUGGUUCGUGUGUUACAGAUUAAGCGAACGGAGACUGUACUGCAGCCGGGGAAGGUAUACUAAACGGCGGUUUGGCUUAAAGACACUGGAGGUGUCUUAACAGUACAUGUCAGUAGU
RNAcentral lists this long non-coding RNA (478 nucleotides) under Pelobates cultripes (western spadefoot toad). The record is from RNAcentral. Lineage: Eukaryota; Metazoa; Chordata; Amphibia; Anura; Pelobatidae.